Non-coding RNA from Parasteatoda tepidariorum (common house spider), 1189 nucleotides. Lineage: Eukaryota; Metazoa; Arthropoda; Arachnida; Araneae; Theridiidae. The record is from RefSeq and is a predicted model, not a curated record.
GUAGCGUACGACCUCACGUGACCGCGUGUGCUACUUCAGUUUGAAACAAACAGAGCAUUCUAUAAAUUCAGUUCGUAUUACCAGACACCGGUUUGUUACUCUUUACAAUCACAUCCCACGACACACAACCACCAUAAUGAUCCGAAUUCUGGUUUUGCUCACACUUGCCUCCGUUUGUGUGUCUUAUGAUCUAUCUCUGCAUCUUGCCGAGAAGUUAGCAGUUCCGCAUUACAGUCGCCAUGGAUACGAUUAUCCGCAAAUAAAUUUUGGAAGACCACAAGGCAAUGCUGCUCCAGCCGUCAGCCAAUCUUUACCAGCCAGACCAUCAUCUCUUAGUGGGCCAUCCUCUUUCAGUCAACCAUCUUCCGUAAACCGGCCAUCUUCUUUUAGCCAGUCUGGUGACUUCGGUCAACCAUCUUCCGUAAACAGGCCAUCUUCUUUCAGCCAGUCUGGUGACUUUGGUCAACCAUCUACUUUCAGAAGACCCUCAGGUGGUCAAACCAGGUUCUUCAACAUGUACGCCCCCAAUUUGGCAAGUGAGCUGAGGUCACGGUUCAGAAGAUAGUGAUAAGAAGGAAAGGGAAUUCAUUACAUUCAAGAUUCUGAAGCUUUGCUGAAUAAAUUGAAAUACUGUAACCCAUUAUAUUGUAUAUAAAUCAGUAUUUUUAUUACUAAAUUUAUUUAUUAUGCAAAUUUAUGUAAAAUGUGAUUAAUGAAUUACCUAAUCAGUCAUUCUAAUGACGAAAAAGAUUAAUUAAUAUUGAAUUUUAAUUAAAUGAAAGAUUUCGAAUGAAAUCUAAAAAAAUAUUUUAUUUUCAUGCACCCUUUAAAGGAAAAUUUUUUUCUCACUUUCUGUGUUUAUUAUUUUUAUUUGUUUCAAAGUCUUGGAUCGUUCCAGAUGUAAUUUAUUGUUAUUUAUAAUCUCGUGCAAUUUUUGCAUUGGCAUGUUACAGAUUAAGUCGAAAAACAACGAUUUUAAAUCUCAAAUAAGAGUGCUAAAAUUAGAAGAUAAUCAUUUUAAUGCAGUUACAGGCACCAUCGUUAGUGCUACAAUCAGCGUACUGAAAAAUAAAUUAUUUUAUUUGUGCUUACAAAACUUUGUUUUUCGACUUAAAAUUGCUGCACAAAGAGAAUUUUUCUCUCUGUAUGUUAUACAUUGUUUUUAAUAAAUUUAAAAAUAAUCUGUUUC